This 99-nucleotide ribosomal RNA is filed under the name uncultured bacterium. Its description in RNAcentral is "partial 16S ribosomal RNA". It matches the Rfam family "Bacterial small subunit ribosomal RNA", at positions 1384 to 1482 of the family's 1533-position model. The record is from RNAcentral.
UACACACCGCCCGUCACACCAUGGGAGUUGGCUUUACCUGAAGACGGUGCGCUAACCGCAAGGAGGCAGCCGGCCACGGUAGGGUCAGCAACUGGGGUG